CACGUAGGGGGCGAGCGUUGUCCGGAAUUACUGGGCGUAAAGCGCGCGCAGGCGGCUUUGUAAGUUGGAUGUGAAAUCCUAUGGCUUAACCAUAGAACUGCAUCCAAAACUACUUAGCUAGAGUCUGGGAGGGGAAGAUGGAAUUAGUGGUGUAGGGGUAAAAUCCGUAGAGAUCACUAGGAAUACCAAAAGCGAAGGCGAUCUUCUGGAACAGUACUGACGCUGAGGCGCGAAAGCGUGGGGAGCAAACAGGAUUAGAUACCCGUGUAGUCCCU
This 275-nucleotide ribosomal RNA is filed under the name uncultured prokaryote. Its description in RNAcentral is "partial 16S ribosomal RNA". It matches the Rfam family "Bacterial small subunit ribosomal RNA", at positions 524 to 798 of the family's 1533-position model. The record is from RNAcentral.